UGAGGAAUAUUGGUCAAUGGGCGAGAGCCUGAACCAGCCAUGCCGCGUGCAGGAUGACGGCUCUAUGAGUUGUAAACUGCUUUUGUAAAGGGGUAAAGGACAGUACGUGUACUGUGAUGAAAGUACUUUACGAAUAAGGAUCGGCUAACUCCGCGCCAGCAGCCGCGGUAAUACGAAGGGGGCAAGCGUUGUUCGGAAUUACUGGGCGUAAAGCGCACGCAGGCGGCGUGACGCGUCAGAAGUGAAAUCCCCGGGCUCAACCUGGGAACUGCUUUUGAAACGGUCAUGCUUGAAUCAUGGAGAGGGUAGCGGAAUUCCGAGUGUAGAGGUGAAAUUCGUAGAUAUUCGGAAGAACACCGGUGGCGAAGGCGGCUACCUGGCCAUGUAUUGACGCUCAGGUGCGAAAGCGUGGGGAGCAAACA
Molecule: ribosomal RNA, 422 nt
Filed under: uncultured bacterium
Lineage: Bacteria
Description: bacterial SSU rRNA
Rfam family: Bacterial small subunit ribosomal RNA
Source: RNAcentral